CCUACGGGGGGCAGCAGUGAGGAAUAUUGGUCAAUGGGCUUACGCCUGAACCAGCCAAGUCGCGUGAGGGAAGACUGCCCUAUGGGUUGUAAACCUCUUUUGUCAGGGAGCAACGCCGGCUACGUGUAGCCGGACUGAGAGUACCUGAAGAAAAAGCAUCGGCUAACUCCGUGCCAGCAGCCGCGGUAAUACGGAGGAUGCGAGCGUUAUCCGGAUUUAUUGGGUUUAAAGGGUGCGUAGGCGGACUGGAAAGUCAGCGGUAAAAUCGAGAGGCUCAACCUCUUUCCGCCGUUGAAACUGUCGGUCUUGAGUGGGCGAGAAGUAUGCGGAAUGCGUGGUGUAGCGGUGAAAUGCAUAGAUAUCACGCAGAACUCCGAUUGCGAAGGCAGCAUACCGGCGCCCGACUGACGCUGAGGCACGAAAGCGUGGGUAUCGAACAGGAUUAGAUACCCCUGUAGUC
This 460-nucleotide ribosomal RNA is filed under the name uncultured bacterium. Its description in RNAcentral is "partial 16S ribosomal RNA". It matches the Rfam family "Bacterial small subunit ribosomal RNA", at positions 338 to 795 of the family's 1533-position model. The record is from RNAcentral.